Podarcis lilfordi (Lilford's wall lizard) is the source of this 100-nucleotide non-coding RNA. The record is from the annotation of a GenBank genome assembly. Lineage: Eukaryota; Metazoa; Chordata; Lepidosauria; Squamata; Lacertidae.
GUACUCCAGCUGUUUUUGGACUACAAUCCCCAUCAUCCCUGACCACUGAUCCUGCUAAUUAGGGAUGGUGGGAGUUGUAGUCCAAAAACAGCUGGAGUAC